GAUGAAGAACGCAGCGAAAUGCGAUAAGUAAUGUGAAUUGCAGAAUUCAGUGAAUCAUCGAAUCUUUGAACGCACAUUGCGCCCGCUAGUAUUCUGGCGGGCAUGCCUGUCCGAGCGUCAUUUCAACCCUCAAGCCCCCGGGCUUGGUGUUGGGGAUCGGCGAGCCUCCGCGCCCGCCGUCCCCUAAAUCUAGUGGCGGUCUCGCUGUAGCUUCCUCUGCGUAGUAGCAAACCUCGCACUGGGAAACAGCGCGGCCACGCCGUUAAACCCCCAACUUCUGAACGUUUGACCUCGGAUCAGGUAGGAAUACCCGCUGAACUUAAGCAUAUCAAUAAGCGGAGGA
This 343-nucleotide unclassified non-coding RNA is filed under the name soil metagenome. RNAcentral's name for it is "partial contains 5.8S ribosomal RNA, internal transcribed spacer 2, and large subunit ribosomal RNA". The stretch from base 1 to 120 matches the Rfam family "5.8S ribosomal RNA", at positions 35 to 154 of the family's 154-position model. The record is from RNAcentral.